UACGUAGGUGGCAAGCGUUGUCCGGAUUUACUGGGCGUAAAGGGCGUGCAGGCGGCUUGUUAAGUGCAGGGUGAAAGCUCCCGGCUCAACUGGGAGAGGUUCUUGCAUACUGGCGAGCUCGAGGGAGGCAGAGGAGAGUGGAAUUCCCGGUGUAGUGGUGAUAUGCGUAGAUAUCGGGAGGAACACCUGUGGCGAAGGCGGCUUUCUGGGCCUUACCUGACGCUGAGACGCGAAAGCGUGGGGAGCGAACCGG
Molecule: ribosomal RNA, 253 nt
Filed under: uncultured bacterium
Lineage: Bacteria
Description: partial 16S ribosomal RNA
Rfam family: Bacterial small subunit ribosomal RNA
Source: RNAcentral